Molecule: long non-coding RNA, 570 nt
Organism: Saccostrea cuccullata (small rock oyster)
Lineage: Eukaryota; Metazoa; Mollusca; Bivalvia; Ostreida; Ostreidae
Exons: 2
Source: RefSeq, a predicted model, not a curated record
AAAGAAUCUAGGUGCAGCGACCCUUAAAAAUCAGGGUCACAAACCUUCUCCGCCCUACAAGUCAUGGAGUGACAGGUAUGGAUGGGAACAAUACUGUAUUCCAGGUACACAUUCAGAAUGGCAGAGGACACCAUUGUAAUUGAGCUGUGGUGUUUAGUCCAGGAAACUCGGGAAUUAUCCCUGACACUGUGAAGGAAGUCACCAAGACAGACACUGCAUUACUGGGGCAGAUAACUCUAUCUUGACCACUAAUCAGGACUAUGGGGAGGAAACAGCGAUGCCUAGAGGUGGAGAAAUCUCCCGUGAUUAUGUGCCUAUCUGUGAAAGGAUUGCAGGCUGAUCCCAUUGUACACCACCUUACCAUUACCUAGCAGAUAGAGGGGCUGAUAAGGGACAAAACAUGACAAUGCUAACACAGAACUCCAGACCAAUUGUUACCCUCUAAUGUCUGAUUAGAGUUAGACUCAAUGUAAAUGUUAUCAUUUCAUAAAAUGAUUGAGACCUAGUGACUAUUUUCUCCUAUCUUUGUCAUCAGUGAUGUAAUGGUCAUCAAGAGAUUCUGACAUAGUG